GACGGGUGAGUAACGCCGUAAAGAACUUGGCCUCACAAGCUAGGGACAACAUUUAGAAAUGAAUGCUAAUACCUGAUAUUAUGAUUUUAAGGCAUCUUAGAAUUAUGAAAGCUAUAAGCACUGUGAGAGAGCUUUGCGUCCCAUUAGCUAGUUGGAGAGGUAACAGCUCACCAAGGCGAUGAUGGGUAGCCGGCCUGAGAGGGUGAACGGCCACAAGGGGACUGAGACACGGCCCUUACUCCUACGGGAGGCAGCAGUGGGGAAUAUUGGACAAUGGACCGAGAGUCUGAUCCAGCAAUUCUGUGUGCACGAUGAAGUUUUUCGGAAUGUAAAGUGCUUUCAGUUGGGAAGAAAAAAAUAACGGUACCAACAGAAGAAGUGACGGCUAAAUACGUGCCAGCAGCCGCGGUAAUACGUAUGUCACGAGCGUUAUCCGGAUUUAUUGGGCGUAAAGCGCGUCUAGGUGGUUAUGUAAGUCUGAUGUGAAAAUGCAGGGCUCAACUCUGUAUUGCGUUGGAAACUGUAUAACUAGAGUACUGGAGAGGUAAGCGGAACUACAAGUGUAGAGGUGAAAUUCGUAGAUAUUUGUAGGAAUGCCGAUGGGGAAGCCAGCUUACUGGACAGAUACUGACGCUAAAGCGCGAAAGCGUGGGUAGCAAACAGGAUUAGAUACCCUGGUAGUCCACGCUGUAAACGAUGAUUACUAGGUGUUGGGGGUCGAACCUCAGCGCCCAAGCUAACGCGAUAAGUAAUCCGCCUGGGGAGUACGUACGCAAGUAUG
This 781-nucleotide ribosomal RNA is filed under the name uncultured Fusobacteriota bacterium. RNAcentral describes it as "bacterial SSU rRNA". It matches the Rfam family "Bacterial small subunit ribosomal RNA", at positions 100 to 896 of the family's 1533-position model. Lineage: Bacteria; Fusobacteriati; Fusobacteriota. The record is from RNAcentral.